GGGCCUCUAGCCUAGUGGUUAGAGCACCUGAGUAGCAUCUAGCAGACCUGGGUUCAACUCCCCGUGGGAGCG
Molecule: non-coding RNA, 72 nt
Organism: Eragrostis curvula (weeping love grass)
Lineage: Eukaryota; Viridiplantae; Streptophyta; Magnoliopsida; Poales; Poaceae
Source: the annotation of a GenBank genome assembly